This 695-nucleotide ribosomal RNA is filed under the name uncultured Gilliamella sp. Its description in RNAcentral is "bacterial SSU rRNA". It matches the Rfam family "Bacterial small subunit ribosomal RNA", at positions 662 to 1357 of the family's 1533-position model. The record is from RNAcentral. Lineage: Bacteria; Pseudomonadati; Pseudomonadota; Gammaproteobacteria; Orbales; Orbaceae.
UAGAAUUCCGCGUGUAGCGGUGAAAUGCGUAAAGAUGUGGAGGAAUACCGGUGGCGAAGGCGGCCUUCUGGACAGAUACUGACGCUGAGAUGCGAAAGCGUGGGGAGCAAACAGGAUUAGAUACCCUGGUAGUCCACGCUGUAAACGAUGUCGAUUUGGAGUUUGUUGCCUAGAGUGAUGGGCUCCGAAGCUAACGCGAUAAAUCGACCGCCUGGGGAGUACGGCCGCAAGGUUAAAACUCAAAUGAAUUGACGGGGGCCCGCACAAGCGGUGGAGCAUGUGGUUUAAUUCGAUGCAACGCGAAGAACCUUACCUGGUCUUGACAUCCACAGAAUCUUGCAGAGAUGCGAGGGUGCCUUCGGGAACUGUGAGACAGGUGCUGCAUGGCUGUCGUCAGCUCGUGUUGUGAAAUGUUGGGUUAAGUCCCGCAACGAGCGCAACCCUUAUCCUUUGUUGCCAUUGGUUCGGCCGGGAACUCAAAGGAGACUGCCGUUGAUAAAGCGGAGGAAGGUGGGGACGACGUCAAGUCAUCAUGGCCCUUACGACCAGGGCUACACACGUGCUACAAUGGCGUAUACAAAGGGAGGCGACCUCGCGAGAGCAAGCGGACCUCAUAAAGUACGUCUAAGUCCGGAUUGGAGUCUGCAACUCGACUCCAUGAAGUCGGAAUCGCUAGUAAUCGUGAAUCAGAAUGU